RNAcentral lists this unclassified non-coding RNA (227 nucleotides) under Hevea brasiliensis (rubber tree). Lineage: Eukaryota; Viridiplantae; Streptophyta; Magnoliopsida; Malpighiales; Euphorbiaceae. The record is from RNAcentral.
UAGUAAACAACAUAGCUGAUUACAUGUGAGGAUUAUGAAUAUGAGCGUCCACUCCACCAACUUUUCAUAGAUACCUUAAUGUAGAUAUUGUUUUAGAUUUAAUAAAAUGUAAAUCUAGAGGAUCUGGGUUUCUUAUUUAAUGUAAAGUUCCUCUACUUUGAUUUAUCAAUCAGUUACGGGUUUAUUAAUAGGCUGGACAAACUAUAUUUAGUUGUUUGUCAGUUUAG